This 368-nucleotide long non-coding RNA is filed under the name Gossypium barbadense (sea-island cotton). RNAcentral's name for it is "long non-coding RNA (GBAR_LNC006888)". Lineage: Eukaryota; Viridiplantae; Streptophyta; Magnoliopsida; Malvales; Malvaceae. The record is from RNAcentral.
UUUGUGGUUGGAAGAAAUGUAUAAUUAGAGAGGCUCAGGACUGAAACUGUGUUGGCAUUGACUACAGCCAUACCUUCAUGAAUCACGGCAUCUGCAUGCUAUGAGAAGGGCUAGGGGUAGUGGAGGUCGUUUUCUGAAUAAAAAGAAGCUGGAUGAUCACAUCACCAGUCCUAACUCAGAAAAGGGUAUGAAUUCAGAUGAAAACAUUUCAGCUAAAUCAGCUUACUUAUCUGGGUUUGAGUGCUUAUCUUCCAGUGGUACUGGAAAUUUGAGUUCCUUCUACGGACAGCAAGAGGGAAAUGUGUCACUAGUUAAGGAUUUGCAUGAAGCACAGCCUUUAAGUAACGGUACACCCCACUUAUCAUCUA